UGGGGAAUUUUGGACAAUGGGCGCAAGCCUGAUCCAGCAAUGCCGCGUGCAGGAUGAAGGCCUUCGGGUUGUAAACCGCUUUUGUCAGGGAAGAAACGAGUUUCUCUAAUACAGAGACUUAAUGACGGUACCUGAAGAAUAAGCACCGGCUAACUACGUGCCAGCAGCCGCGGUAAUACGUAGGGUGCGAGCGUUAAUCGGAACUCCUGGGCGUAAAGCGUGCGCAGGCGGUUAUAUAAGACAGAUGUGAAAUCCCCGGGCUCAACCUGGGACCUGCAUUUGUGACUGUAUAGCUAGAGUACGGUAGAGGGGGAUGGAAUUCCGCGUGUAGCAGUGAAAUGCGUAGAUAUGCGGAGGAACACCGAUGGCGAAGGCAAUCCCCUGGACCUGUACUGACGCUCAUGCACGAAAGCGUGGGGAGCAAACA
This 427-nucleotide ribosomal RNA is filed under the name uncultured bacterium. RNAcentral describes it as "bacterial SSU rRNA". It matches the Rfam family "Bacterial small subunit ribosomal RNA", at positions 355 to 774 of the family's 1533-position model. The record is from RNAcentral.